GAUGAACGCUGGCGGCGUGCCUAAUACAUGCAAGUCGAGCGAACGGACGAGAAGCUUGCUUCUCUGAUGUUAGCGGCGGACGGGUGAGUAACACGUGGAUAACCUACCUAUAAGACUGGGAUAACUUCGGGAAACCGGAGCUAAUACCGGAUGAUAUUUUGAACCGCAUGGUUCAAAAGUGAAAGACGGUCUUGCUGUCACUUAUAGAUGGAUCCGCGCUGCAUUAGCUAGUUGGUAAGGUAACGGCUUACCAAGGCAACGAUGCAUAGCCGACCUGAGAGGGGGAUCGGCCACACGGGAGCUGAGACACGGUCCAGACUCCUACGGGAGGCAGCAGUAGGGAAUCUUCCGCAAUGGGCGAAAGCCUGACGGAGCAACGCCGCGUGAGUGAUGAAGGUCUUCGGAUCGUAAAACUCUGUUAUUAGGGAAGAACAUAUGUGUAAGUAACUGUGCACAUCUUGACGGUACCUAAUCAGAAAGCCACGGCUAACUACGUG
RNAcentral lists this ribosomal RNA (497 nucleotides) under uncultured bacterium. RNAcentral's name for it is "partial 16S ribosomal RNA". It matches the Rfam family "Bacterial small subunit ribosomal RNA", at positions 28 to 507 of the family's 1533-position model. The record is from RNAcentral.